GAUGAACGCUGGCGGCGUGCCUAAUACAUGCAAGUCGAGCGAACAGACGAGGAGCUUGCUCCUCUGACGUUAGCGGCGGACGGGUGAGUAACACGUGGAUAACCUACCUAUAAGACUGGGAUAACUUCGGGAAACCGGAGCUAAUACCGGAUAAUAUAUUGAACCGCAUGGUUCAAUAGUGAAAGACGGUUUUGCUGUCACUUAUAGGUGGAUCCGCGCCGCAUUAGCUAGUUGGUAAGGUAACGGCUUACCAAGGCGACGAUGCGUAGCCGACCUGAGAGGGUGAUCGGCCACACUGGAACUGAGACACGGUCCAGACUCCUACGGGAGGCAGCAGUAGGGAAUCUUCCGCAAUGGGCGAAAGCCUGACGGAGCAACGCCGCGUGAGUGAUGAAGGUCUUCGGAUCGUAAAACUCUGUUAUUAGGGAAGAACAAAUGUGUAAGUAACUAUGCACGUCUUGACGGUACCUAAUCAGAAAGCCACGGCUAACUACGUG
RNAcentral lists this ribosomal RNA (497 nucleotides) under uncultured bacterium. Its description in RNAcentral is "partial 16S ribosomal RNA". It matches the Rfam family "Bacterial small subunit ribosomal RNA", at positions 28 to 507 of the family's 1533-position model. The record is from RNAcentral.